This 250-nucleotide ribosomal RNA is filed under the name uncultured bacterium. RNAcentral describes it as "partial 16S ribosomal RNA". It matches the Rfam family "Bacterial small subunit ribosomal RNA", at positions 524 to 773 of the family's 1533-position model. The record is from RNAcentral.
UACGGGGGGAACGAGCGUUGUUCGGAUUUACUGGGCGUAAAGGGCGUGCAGGCGGAUUUUCAAGUCGGAUGUGAAAACCCCAAGCUUAACUCGGGGCCUGCAUCCGAUACUGCAAAUCUUGAGUACGGGAGAGGAAAGCGGAAUUCCAGGUGUAGCGGUGACAUGCGUAGAUAUCUGGAAGAACACCGGUGGCGAAGGCGGCUUUCUGGACCGAUACUGACGCUGAGGCGCGAAAGCCAGGGGAGCAAAC